Molecule: long non-coding RNA, 730 nt
Filed under: Citrus sinensis (sweet orange)
Lineage: Eukaryota; Viridiplantae; Streptophyta; Magnoliopsida; Sapindales; Rutaceae
Description: long non-coding RNA (CSIN_LNC005368)
Source: RNAcentral
UCUCCUUCGCCACCGGUUGACGAGCUCUUUCUUCAAUUUUUGAACUUGAAGUGAUGCCCCAUCGAUGUCCAGAAUUUUUAAAGUCUCCCCAUUGUACAAGUUAAACAAUAAAGUCAGAAUGAUGACGGGGAGACUUUAAAAACUUAAAGCUAAAACCCAAAACGCUCCUCUUGUUCGUUUCCGGGGACUUCACCUUGAUGGCCGAAAAGCAACUGGAAAUCCUCCGCGGGUACGAGCUGCGGCUCUUGCGCCGCACCCUCGCUCCCUCACCGUCCGAUCUUCGCAUUCAAUCGCAACCGUUGAACGAAGAAAGCCAAUGCUCUCUCCUUCCACUCCACAAGCACAUCAACAGCCUCAUCGACUCCAUCGAGUCCGGCCACUAUCUCCAGGCUCUUAAAACAGCCAGGAAGAAGAAACACUAAUUUGACUAAAAAAUCUGAUUUUUUAUUGAUAACUUUUUCUACCCUUUACAGCAGCCAAUCCGCUCUUUAAAAGUCGGAGCCAAAGAGCCCACACUGAUUAAGCCACCAUUCCCGGAAGAAAACACUCCAAACAAUUUUAAAUAACAAAAACAGUAAUUCAAAACACCUAAAAAAUAGCUAAUGGAAAUAAUCCCAAAAUAAAAUAUUGUCAAAAAAUAAAAGGUCGUUACAGCUCUGUCCUCCGACGCGGCUAAACUUGUCCUCGACACGCUCGACUUCGUCGGCAUCAACGACUGAGCCGAGUGUGC